GCCGUAGCUCAGUGGUAGAGCACCUGCCUCGCAUGUGUGAUGCCCUGGGCUCAAUCCUCAGCAUCGCA
RNAcentral lists this transfer RNA (68 nucleotides) under Marmota monax (woodchuck). RNAcentral's name for it is "tRNA.Ala". Lineage: Eukaryota; Metazoa; Chordata; Mammalia; Rodentia; Sciuridae. The record is from RNAcentral.